Long non-coding RNA from Triticum dicoccoides, 839 nucleotides. RefSeq lists it as uncharacterized. NCBI's taxonomy places the organism in Eukaryota, Viridiplantae, Streptophyta, Magnoliopsida, Poales, Poaceae. The transcript has 5 exons. The record is from RefSeq and is a predicted model, not a curated record.
ACUAUUGCUACUCUUGAUUCAGAUCUGAGGGGAGAAGACAAACUAAAUGAUUCAGUUCAUCAUUGGCAUCCUUGUGAACAGUUCUGAAGAUAGCUUUCAGAGACUAAUUACGUGAUAUUUCUCUCAAACUUUUUCUACAAAUAGCCUGGGACUUCCACUGACUGUGCCACUGCUUCAGCAUCCACCAUCAGUGGCAUUGGCCGCCCUCUGAGCCAAAUCUUGGCGCUCCCAGCCGCUGCUCCUGGACCCCGCCUCCAUCAGCUCCACUUCACCAGAGCCGCCAGUCCGCAUGAGUAGGGGUAGCGUAUCCCCCUACAGCGGUCAAAUCCCGGUGCACCCAGCCGGUUCUCUUGAACCCCGCCUCCAUCAGCUCCACUUCACUGGAGCCGUCAGUCCGCAGGAGUAGGGGUAGCAGGUUCACCCAACGUCCGACGCCUUCUUCCAUCUCCAAAAAUCUUGUUUUUGAGUUCAGUUCUUCAUCACAUGUUUCACUAGCUGGAAUUGCUUGACGAACAGAGCAAAGGGCCCAAACCCACUAUCGUGCAAGAAAAGAAAUCAAAGCCCCAACCAUCAGCUGCUCAAAUCAUCAGGAAAAAACAUUUUCAGGUUAUUGGUGCCGCUGGAUAACUGUCAUAGUUUGUCGCCAGCAAAGUCCUCGAACUUGGUCUACACCAGUAGUAGAACUUACUGGUUCUCCGUGACCUAAAGUUGAAAACAGACAAAAAUUCUCAAGAAUUGAGGCUUCGCCAAGGAACAAGACUGGUAACUAGCGCAAAGGAGACUAUGUCGAGAGGUGGCACUGCUAGACUUGCUGAUGUGUAGUUAUGGCAUAAAAAAGA